This 422-nucleotide ribosomal RNA is filed under the name Laparocerus notatus. RNAcentral's name for it is "partial 16S ribosomal RNA". Lineage: Eukaryota; Metazoa; Arthropoda; Insecta; Coleoptera; Curculionidae. The record is from RNAcentral.
GGUAUUUUGACCGUGCAAAGGUAGCAUAAUCAUUAGUUUUUUAAUUGAAAGCUGGUAUGAAAGGUUGGAUGAGAAAUAAGCUGUCUCUAUUUAAUUUUAUUAGAAUUUUAUUUUUAAGUUAAAAAGCUUAAAUUUUAAUAGAAGACGAGAAGACCCUAUAGAGUUUUAUUUAUUUUUUUAAUAAAAUUAAUAGUAUUAAUUAUUUUUAUUAAAAAAAUAAAUUUGGUUGGGGUGAUUGAAAAAUUUAAUAAACUUUUUUUGUAAAUGUACAUUUAUAUAUGAUUAAUUGAUCCUUAAUUUAAGAUUAAAAGAUAAAAUUACCUUAGGGAUAACAGCGUAAUUUUUUUUGAGAGUUCUAAUCGAAAGAAAAGAUUGCGACCUCGAUGUUGGAUUAAAAUAAAAUUUUGGUGUAGAAGCUGAAG